This 301-nucleotide ribosomal RNA is filed under the name uncultured bacterium. Its description in RNAcentral is "partial 16S ribosomal RNA". It matches the Rfam family "Bacterial small subunit ribosomal RNA", at positions 509 to 807 of the family's 1533-position model. The record is from RNAcentral.
CAGCCGCCGCGGUAAAACGAAGGGUGCAAGCGUUACUCGGAAUUACUGGGCGUAAAGCGUGCGUAGGUGGUGGUUUAAGUCCGUUGUGAAAGCCCUGGGCUCAACCUGGGAAUUGCAGUGGAUACUGGAUCACUAGAGUGUGGUAGAGGAUAGUGGAAUUUCCGGUGUAGCAGUGAAAUGCGUAGAGAUGUGGAGGAACACCGAUGGCGAAGGCAGCCCCCUGGGCCAAUACUGACGCUCAUGCACGAAAGCGUGGGGAGCAAACAGGAUUAGAUACCCCGGUAGUCCCUGUCUCUUAUAC